This 1733-nucleotide ribosomal RNA is filed under the name Myxozoa sp. OMsCI 1. RNAcentral describes it as "SSU rRNA". The record is from RNAcentral. Lineage: Eukaryota; Metazoa; Cnidaria; Myxozoa.
CCGUUAUUAGUUAAAACCAAAUGCUGCAGCGCGGUUAGUGUUUCAGUAAGGUGAUUCUAGAUAACUUGGCAGAUUGCAUAGCCUUGAGCUGGCAAUAUUUCGAUUGAAUUUCCGCCCUAUCAACUGUUGAUGGUAAGGUAGUGGCUUACCAUGGUUGCAACGGGUAACGGGGAAUCAGGGUUCGAUUCCGGAGAGGGAGCCUGAGAAACGGCUACCACAUCCAAGGGAGGCAGCAGGCGCGCAAAUUACCCAAUCCAGACAAUGGGAGGUGGUAACGAGAAGUACUGGGUGGUAGACAAUGUCUGCUAAUCUCAGAAUGAGCAUAAAGUAAACAUGUAGUCGAGUAACGACUGGAGGGCAAGUCUGGUGCCAGCAGCCGCGGUAAUUCCAGCUCCAGUAGCAUGUCGUAAAGUUGUUGCGUUUAAAACGCUCGUAGUCGGAUCAUGGAGUAUCGAUGAGUUGGUCUGCGUGUGGGGGCAAUAAAACUGUAUCCGCUAGUUUGCCGUCAUUAAUUUGAUGGUGGCUGGUGGAUAGAGCGCUAUCUACGUAGACUUGUUGCUCAUCGGUACUAUUUGCAUGUAAGAAUAAUGGUUGGCCUUUAGUGCGUUGGCCAUUGUGUCUUACAGAGUGUGCCUUGAAUAAAUCAUAGUGCUUAAAGCAGGCUUUUGCCUGAAUGAUAGAGCAUGGAACGAACAAACGUGUACGUGAUGAUAGGGAGGGUCGCAAGACUUGAACUACAUCAUAUCACCAACCACCAUGUACGGAUGUUGGUUUCCGUAUUGGGGUACUGAUUAAGAGGAGCGGUUGGGGGCCUUGGUAUUUGGCAGCGAGAGGUGAAAUUCUUGGACCUGCCAAGGACUAACAAAUGCGAAGGCAUCUGUCCAGACCGUAUCCAUUAAUCAAGAACGAUAGUGAGAGGUUCGAAGACGAUCAGAUACCGUCCUAGUUCUCACUGUAAACUAUGCCGACCCGGGAUUAGUCCUACGCCUAUUAUGUAUGGCUUGGGUUGGUCCCCCUGGGAAACCUUAAGUUUUUCGGUUGCGGGGGGAGUAUGGUCGCAAGGCUGAAACUUAAAGGAAUUGACGGAAGGGCACCACCAGGGGUGGAGCCUGCGGCUUAAUUUGACUCAACACGGGAAAACUUACGUGAUCAGGACAUCAAAAGGAUUGUCAGACUAAGGAUCUUACAUGAUCUGGUGAUUGGUGGUGCAUGGCCGUUCUUAGUUCGUGAAGWGAUUUGUCAGAUUUAUUUCGGUAACGGACGAGAUCACAAUCUCCAUUUGACGAGMUGAGGUAAAUGUAAAUUGUCAAUUUUUUUGGUAAAACGAAAAAAUUGAGUAAUAUUUGCAUUGUUGUGAUAUAUAUUGUGUGAAUAAGAGAGGUUGAGAGAUAUAUGGCAACAUAUAUGGAUUAAUUAAACUUGUUUAACAACAAUGUAUUCCCCUUAGUCAAACAGUGUGUAACUUUAUGUUGCAUACUGUAUCAUGGAGAGACAACGGAACAUAUUUAAAAUCCGAGGAAGUGUGGCUAUAACAGGUCUGUGAUGCCCUUAGAUGUUCAUGGCUGCACGCGCGCUACAAUGGCGACGACAACGAGUGUCUGAAUCGAAAGAUUCGGGUAAUCUUAUAAUCGUCKCCGUGAUGGGGAUUGAUGUUUGUAAAUACGUCAUGAAAGAGGAAUCCCUAGUACGUGCGAUUCAUUAAAUCGCGCGGAUUUAGUCCCUGCCCUUUGUAC